Long non-coding RNA from Pseudopodoces humilis (Tibetan ground-tit), 291 nucleotides. RefSeq lists it as uncharacterized. The record is from RefSeq and is a predicted model, not a curated record. NCBI's taxonomy places the organism in Eukaryota, Metazoa, Chordata, Aves, Passeriformes, Paridae.
GGCAGGUGGAAAUGUCACCCCCACCACCAUCCCCUCGGGAGCCCGGCGAGCCGCAGAGUUAAGCUGUUCAGAGAAAGGAAUGUGGAGUGAAUCUUCCCGGAAUGUCUCUUUACAAGGAAUUUUUUGAACAGUUUGUUUUUUGUAAAUAGACACAAAUUCCUAAACUAUUAUCUCUCCAGAGAGCCUCCUCCUCCCCAGUUAACUCACAUAAAAUAAGGCUUUUUAAGGCCUGAGGAAGGAGGUUUGUGGCUUCAAACCUCCUUUGUCUCAGCCCAGCUGUGUCCGUUGAGC